UCCAGGACAGUAGGCAGAUGAACAGGAGAAAAAAACAUGCACAUUUAUUACACGGAUGGGAGCAGCACGAGAAACAAAAGGUGGACACCAUGACAAAAUGCUCAGACUGACUUAAACAAAAGUGGGAGGCUACCGUUUCACACAAGUCAGAUGUGCAGUUGAGUAUGGCCUGACCGAGAGAAGGAAUUGUGUCAGCAGGAUUCUUUUCUCCACAGUGCUGCUUCUAGCUUGGUUCCCCUGCCAGGUGUUUAUGGCAGCAUCUCCUGACUUCAACUCCCAGAAUCUCUGGGAUUCCCCAUCCUGGUUUCAAGAUGCUGCAGAGGAAGCCCACUGCAAGCUUCACGUCUUUGGAGCAGCGAAUUCAAUAAAGAGUGCAGGACCCUAUUUCCCAGAGCCUCAGCUAAGUCUUCAUGUCCUCUUGGCUUCACUUGGGUUAAAUUCCCAACCCUAACACAGUCAUGUGGCAAAGGAGAUGGGAAACGGUCAUUGGCUUGAGCCAAUGUGAACUCACUCUUGUCCCAUGAAGGAAGGCACUAGUCAUAUCUCUUUAUGCUCCAAAAUUUAGCCCAGUGCUCUCAGUAAAUGACUCUUUUUUAUGUUAUGAAAGAAAACCAAGAAGGGUUGGUUUGGUGGGAAGAUGAACUCAGAGCUUUGGUAGGGAAGGAGUGAGACCCCAAGGCUUAGGUUGGGGACAAUAGGUAGAUGCAAUCGAGAGCUCUCACUGUAAUAUUCUCUGGAAUCCUUGAACUUCAGAAGUGGCCCACAUGGCCUAAUUGGAAGAUAGUGGGCCCUUCUUACUUGAAGACCAGAUAGUGAGACAGUGCCUUAUAAGACAACAUCUGUCUUCCUCAGGAUCUGCUCUACCUCCACUCCCAGCCACAAAAUUCAUAAUUAAGGUCAGAUGUCAGCACAACCUAACAGGGAAAGCAGAGCCUGCUAAGGGAGAAGAGGGAUUCUACACCCAAGCAGCUCAGAACCUGGCUGAUGUGUACUGGCAAGAACUGGUGAGUAUGCCUGGAAGUGAAUCUCCAUGGUGCUGGACCAAAAGGUUGGAAUAUAAAACUGGAUAAGAGAGAGUUUCUCUAUAAGGGGGCACUCCUCUUUCACUCAGAAUUAGCUACCUGGCAAGGGUCCCAGGAUGUGGGUCUCAUACACCGCUUGGAUAAGUCCUGGAAACUUGCAGAAAGUGUUGGCCUACAAAAAAAUGAAGUAAAGAUGGCAGAACUACCAGCACUGACUGUGGAGAAAAGAAUCAAGAGGCUUGGAGAAGUGGACAUGCUAGAAUAGUUCUCCCACGGGAGGUCAGUUGACCAUGCUCCUGGGGAGAACACUGCAUGGAUGCAGGUGAUAAGGAAUGCACUGGUGAGUUUGGAGUCCUAAUUAGGGAAAAGGAGUCAAGAUGGUUGGGACCAGGGUAAAGCAAAAAAACAGAUAAGCUGUAAGUUUGCCUUUCUUCAUGGUCCAGGACACAGAGCCAUCCUGUGCAAAUAACUCACCAUCUUCCUGCGCCCAGCUAUCACCAGACACUCGGCUGAUAGAAAAAUGCAAGUUAGCUCACUGCGACCUUGGCAUUAUCAGUACCGCACAAAGCCCUCUUCAGCACACAGCACAAGCACCAUCCUAUAAAAUCUCCAGCAAGCUUUUGUCUCCUUGCAGUCAGCUCCUCUCUUGCUGACUUGCCCAUUGCUUUCCUGAAAUACAUUUUCCUACUUUUUCCAAUAAAUCUGCCUUUCUUUACCUAAAA
Long non-coding RNA from Homo sapiens (human), 1744 nucleotides. RefSeq lists it as uncharacterized. The record is from RefSeq and is a predicted model, not a curated record. NCBI's taxonomy places the organism in Eukaryota, Metazoa, Chordata, Mammalia, Primates, Hominidae. The transcript is spliced from 2 exons.